Molecule: ribosomal RNA, 529 nt
Filed under: uncultured bacterium
Lineage: Bacteria
Description: bacterial SSU rRNA
Rfam family: Bacterial small subunit ribosomal RNA
Source: RNAcentral
GUUUGAUCCUGGCUCAGAUUGAACGCUGGAGGUAUGCUUAACACAUGCAAGUCGAACGCGAACGUUUCUUCGGAAACAAGUAGAGUGGCGGACGGGUGAGUAACGCGUAGGAAUAUACCUAGUAGUGGGGGAUAACAUGAUGAAAAUCAUGCUAAUACCGCAUAUGUCCCAUGGGAUAAAGAGGGCCUCUUCUUGAAAGCUCUUGCUAUUAGAUUAGCCUGCGUCGGAUUAGCUUGUUGGCGGGGUAAUGGCCCACCAAGGCGACGAUCCGUAGCUGGUCUGAGAGGAUGAUCAGCCACACUGGGACUGAGACACGGCCCAGACUCCUACGGGAGGCAGCAGUGGGGAAUAUUGGACAAUGAGCGCAAGCUUGAUCCAGCAAUACCUCGUGUGUGAAGAAGGCCUUAGGGUUGUAAAGCACUUUCGUUUGGGACGAAAAGUUUAAGCUUAAUACGCUUAGACCUUGACGGUACCUUAAGAAGAAGCACCGGCUAACUCCGUGCCAGCAGCCGCGGUAAUAAGGGCGAAU